Molecule: long non-coding RNA, 1885 nt
Organism: Helianthus annuus (common sunflower)
Lineage: Eukaryota; Viridiplantae; Streptophyta; Magnoliopsida; Asterales; Asteraceae
Exons: 4
Source: RefSeq, a predicted model, not a curated record
UAUAUCACUAAAAACAAAAUCAGAUCUUUCAUCUCCCCAAACCCUAGAUGAAUGACCUUCAAAUGUCUCACCGACUUGUAGACUGUAGCCACCAAUCAUCGACGAAAUUGCAGGUUUCAGUAGGCAUGAUAUCAGAUCUCCAAAGCAAUCGUUUCUCUUCACUGCGUCGUCUACGAAACCGGAAGACGAUGAUGGUGAUGAAGAUGUUACAGUAGAUUGAUGAACGCCACUUCGCAAAUGGCGAGUUCGAAAGACGAUUCAGCCUCUGAUACCGCCAAUUUUGCCACCAAUCACCGCCGCACUAACUCCAACACCAAGUUCUUCUCCAACGGCGAGAGAGUUCUCGCUUAUCAUGGUCCCGUAUCUACGAAGCAAAGGCAUGUGCAUUAUUUUUAUCUCUUUUAAGUCGAUCUAUCACUUUUGUUUGUUACCUAUCGUUUAAUUUUACUUUUAUGCGGUUGAGAUUUAGCUAUGGAGAGUUGAAUCGAAUCGAGAUAAUGAGGACUGUGUUAGAAUACAUUCAGCAGAACUAUAUGUUAUUGUUUGAAGUAUUCUUAUGAGAUUGGUUUCGAUUACUUUAUUCAGUUUAUCUGGCUUUAUGUCGGCUAGGUUGAACCUAUUGUGAUGCCCAAAGAUUACAGGCCAAAAAGUUUACAGAUUUGAUUGAGUUGCCUAAGUAAUUUUGUGAAAGAAGUUACGGAUGAUGAUAAGUUGAGAGGGAUUGUGAGGUGUCGAUUUAGGAAUGGGUGCAGCAAACAGAGAUGGCUUUGUGGAAUCAAGUCGGGUCACCAGAAAGGGUGUGUUUGGAAGUGUUCGCAGGAGAAUUGGCGGAGAAGAUGACUUGGUUGUUAAGGUCACAACAUCAUUGGCUUGAAGGUUAUUUAGUAAGAAAGGAGGAAGGGAAAGGAUAUAUAUAUUAUAUGCAAGGAUGACACCCGAUAGUUCUAGACGUCCGGGUGAGUUCAUAUGACUCCAAAAGUCCAACUUAUAUGACAUUAAUCAUAUAGGUAAUCAUAUGGUGCAACUUAUUUGAACUUAUAGUUUAUUGUAGAAGUAUAUUAAUAUGUCUGGGAUUGAAUUAACGAUAUGUUCCAUUGUAUUAAGACAUGAAAAAGAGAUAAAACGGAAUGUACGGAUUCCAUAGUGAGGUUACAAUGGGUUCUAUAAUGAGAUUCUUGAAUCUCAUAGAAUGUUCACUGUAGUAUAUAAACAUUAAUUUUGGAUGUUUGAGUAGAACUGAAAUGUGUCUUUUGACCCGUUUGUCGUUAUAAUUGCAUAAAUGUAAUUUAAUUUAUGUGGAUGAUAUUAGGGUCAAUGUAACAAUUUAUAUAUGUCUUAGUUCAUAAAUAAUAACGUGUAUGUAAUGUUGAAGACUGAAGUGGACUGUAUGUUUAAAAAAUUGAACAGGGCUGCUGUUUAUGGGCUGGCACAUGCCUAUGUACAUGUACAACAAGUAGGUACAUAGCCAUAAUACGCAGUUGUAAUAUAUAUAUUUGUGAUUUUGAUACUCUUUCCUGAUUGCAUUUUGCCUAUGUUGGGUGAUUAAAAGCGUUCGAUAGAAAGAAUAUUUGAACCUACAUGCCUUUGGUGCAACUAUAAUGAGGCGGUGUCACAAUUUGAGAUUAGGUCCACAUGGAAAAACUUCUGAAGUCUUAGUUGCAGAUGCUACAAAAUGUUGUACUUAUUAGAAACUUGAACUCUGGGUGUUUUUUUAGCCAUAGCUUAAUUUACAUUUGCUUUUGGCUUUGACUUUAUGAGCAAGUUAACUUGGUUUGGGUCUAAGUUUGCAAAUUAUGGCAUGGUUUGCCCGCCGCAUUGCGGCGGGUACUAAUCCUAGUUAUUAUUAAAAUAUUAGAAUUGCUUCAUUUCUUGAAAUGCGAUUUCA